UUAUGCUGGUUUGAAGUUCUACAUUUAUGAAAAACUGAAAAGUCAUGUCCCUGAGGAGCAUCAAAGUUCCAUCGUGAUGCGACUUUCUUGUGGAGCUCUGGCCGGGUUAUUGGGGCAGACGUUCACGUAUCCCCUGGACGUCGUUAGAAGACAAAUGCAGGUUGGAGAUAUGCCAUCUUCACUUAAUGGUCAAGUCAGAUUUAGGAAUUCGAUAGAAGGUCUUACAAUGAUCGUUCGUAACCAAGGGUGGAGACAGUUGUUUGCAGGACUGAGCAUUAACUAUAUCAAGAUUGUUCCUUCUGUGGCUAUUGGAUUUGCAGCAUAUGAUAGCAUGAAGUUAUGGCUCCGAAUCCCGCCUCGGCAGAAGACGCAGUCAAUUUCUUCUUCUGCUGCAUAAAUUGAACCCUCUCCGCUGUUAACGCUCUCUCUAGAAUGCUUUUGUAACUGGACUUUGCUUAUUAUGUAGUUCUACUCUUGCAUAAAGUUGUGACUAUCAUAUGUGCUCGAGUCUAUAACGAGACAUGCUCUUCCUAGUUCCCUGUAAUCGGUAUG
RNAcentral lists this unclassified non-coding RNA (552 nucleotides) under Hevea brasiliensis (rubber tree). The record is from RNAcentral. Lineage: Eukaryota; Viridiplantae; Streptophyta; Magnoliopsida; Malpighiales; Euphorbiaceae.